RNAcentral lists this ribosomal RNA (422 nucleotides) under uncultured bacterium. RNAcentral's name for it is "bacterial SSU rRNA". It matches the Rfam family "Bacterial small subunit ribosomal RNA", at positions 355 to 774 of the family's 1533-position model. The record is from RNAcentral.
UGAGGAAUAUUGGACAAUGGGCGCAAGCCUGAUCCAGCCAUGCCGCGUGCAGGAAGAAGCAUCUAUGGUGUGUAAACUGCUUUUGUACGGGAAGAAACACUCCUUCGUGAAGGAGCUUGACGGUACCGUAAGAAUAAGGAUCGGCUAACUCCGUGCCAGCAGCCGCGGUAAUACGGAGGAUCCAAGCGUUAUCCGGAAUCAUUGGGUUUAAAGGGUCCGUAGGCGGUUUAGUAAGUCAGUGGUGAAAGACCAUCGCUCAACUAUGGAACGGCCAUUGAUACUGCUAGACUUGAAUAAGUAAGAAGUAACUAGAAUAUGUAGUGUAGCAGUGAAAUGCUUAGAUAUUACAUGGAAUACCAAUGGCGAAGGAAGGUUACUGCUAAUGGAUUGACGCUGAUGGACGAAAGCGUGGGGAGCAAACA